CAAAUACUAAAACUGGAAGGAUACAGAGAAGAUUAGCAUGACCCCUGCACAAGGAUGACAUGCAAAUUUGCAAAGCAUUUCAUAAAUUU
Molecule: small nuclear RNA, 89 nt
Organism: Capra hircus (goat)
Lineage: Eukaryota; Metazoa; Chordata; Mammalia; Artiodactyla; Bovidae
Source: Ensembl